GGGUGCUUCAGAACCUCAAAAAAGACUUCCUUAGGCAGUUCGGCCGGAGCCAGUGUAUCCAACUUGGAGAGAAGGUCGGCUCUGGCAUUUUUCGAUCUUGGGAUUUGCCUGAUGUCAAAGCUGUCGAAGGUAGGGAUGAUCUCCCUUACCCUUUCAAGAUAUCUAGCCAUACUGUCCUCCUGAGCUUCAUAAUUUUCACUGACUUGUCCCAC
RNAcentral lists this long non-coding RNA (212 nucleotides) under Elaeis guineensis (African oil palm). RNAcentral describes it as "long non-coding RNA (EGUI_LNC032239)". Lineage: Eukaryota; Viridiplantae; Streptophyta; Magnoliopsida; Arecales; Arecaceae. The record is from RNAcentral.